UGUUAAAUAGUUUAUAUAAAAUAUUAAUUUUGUAAAUUAAAGAAGUUUUACUUUAACUA
Molecule: transfer RNA, 59 nt
Filed under: Haemadipsa crenata
Lineage: Eukaryota; Metazoa; Annelida; Clitellata; Hirudinida; Haemadipsidae
Description: tRNA-Thr
Source: RNAcentral